Molecule: long non-coding RNA, 270 nt
Organism: Erpetoichthys calabaricus (reedfish)
Lineage: Eukaryota; Metazoa; Chordata; Cladistia; Polypteriformes; Polypteridae
Exons: 2
Source: RefSeq, a predicted model, not a curated record
AGACCCGGGUUCACUUCAUGGGUCCUCCCUGUGUGGAGUUUGCCUGUUCUCCCCGUGUCUGCGUGGGUUUCCUCCCACAGUCCAAAGACAUGCAGGUUAGGUGCAUUGGCGAUCCUAAAUUGUCCCUAGUGUGUGCUUGGUGUGUGGGUGUGUGUGUGCCCUGCGGUGGGCUGGCGCCCUGUCCAGGGUUUGUUUCCUGCCUUGCACCCUGUGUUGGCUGGGAUUGGCUCCAGCAGAUAUAGCGGGUUGGAUAAUGAAUGGAUGGACAAU